This 842-nucleotide ribosomal RNA is filed under the name uncultured bacterium. RNAcentral's name for it is "bacterial SSU rRNA". It matches the Rfam family "Bacterial small subunit ribosomal RNA", at positions 21 to 894 of the family's 1533-position model. The record is from RNAcentral.
GGCUCAGAAUCAACGCUGGCGGCGCGCCUAACACAUGCAAGUCGAACGAGAAAGCCGGAGCAAUCUGGUAAGUAAAGUGGCGUACGGGUGAGUAACACGUGGAUCAUCUGCCCUUUUGUGGGGAAUACCGCUGGGAAACCGGCGACAAUACCGCAUAAGCCCGAGAGGGGAAAGCAGCAAUGCGCAGAAGGAGGAGUCCGCGGUCGAUUAGUUAGUUGGCGGGGUAAAGGCCCACCAAGACUGUGAUCGAUAGCCGGCCUGAGAGGGCACACGGCCACACUGGCACUGAAACACGGGCCAGACUCCUACGGGAGGCAGCAGUGGGGAAUCUUGCACAAUGGGGGAAACCCUGAUGCAGCGACGCCGCGUGAGCGAUGAAGCCCCUCGGGGUGUAAAGCUCUUUCGGCAGGGAAGAUUAUGACGGUACCUGCAAAAGCAGCUGCGGCUAACUACGUGCCAGCAGCCGCGGUAAUACGUAGGCAGCAAGCGUUGUUCGGAGUUACUGGGCGUAAAGGGUGCGUAGGCGGCUUUUUAAGUUUGGUGUGAAAUCUCCCGGCUCAACUGGGAGGGUGCGCCGAAUACUGAGAGGCUAGAGUGUGGGAGAGGAAAGUGGAAUUCCUGGUGUAGCGGUGAAAUGCGUAGAUAUCAGGAGGAACACCGGUGGUGUAAACGGCUUUCUGGACCAUAACUGACGCUGAGGCACGAAAGCGUGGGUAGCAAACAGGAUUAGAUACCCUGGUAGUCCACGCCCUAAACGAUGCAUAUUUGGUGUGGGCCAUUCAUUUGGUCUGUGCCGGAGCUAACGCGUUAAAUAUGCCGCCUGGGGAGUACAGUCGCAAGGC